This is a long non-coding RNA of Sarcophilus harrisii (Tasmanian devil), 1606 nucleotides long. Lineage: Eukaryota; Metazoa; Chordata; Mammalia; Dasyuromorphia; Dasyuridae. The record is from Ensembl.
GACGGAGGGGGAGCAAAAUUAAUACACAGAUAUACACAGAGAGACCCAUACAGUCCUUCUGCUGCACUUGCUGCUCGCCCUUCAGUCCCGCGAGGGGGCGGCUCCGGCCGGCGCCCAGACCAAGGGGGUUCCUGGCUGGCUGAGUGUCACUCAGCAUCAAGCCAACUACUGAUGGUUUUAACUGGUGCUUAUGUCCUGCUGGGUGACCUGAUGCUGACUGACAGCCCAGGAUGCUUGUGGUGGAGCUUUCAAGACCCUUGAAGGGUAUGGACUUGUCUUCCCUCGCUUCCUGCUAAUGUAGUACAGGCAGUUUCUAGCCAACUGUCUACAGAUAAGAAAUCUAGAAUGCUAUUUUGCAAGCUUGAGAAUAAGAAUGGAUACUUCUGAAUUCCCAGAGUGCUUUUAAGUAGUCUUUAAUACCAUUGAAAUAACCAAGCAAGGGGAAGAGAAUUUUACAUAUUGAUUUCAAGUGAUGUCAAUUGGACAAUUCUGAGUUGUAUUUUAACCGAAAUCCUCCAAGUGCAAUGGUAAUGUCCAUAUUGUUGUUUGUCCUUCAUUCUCAAAGAGGACCCUAUGACAUCAGAAAGGUGAUUCCAUGAGAUGUGAGUGAAUGGGGACUUAGUAGGGGAGGACUGUGCAAAGUCACCAGCCUCCCUUUCCUCUCUGUGGUCAUCUGGGUCCAGUUGCAAGAUAUAGAUCAUGAGAUCUGGAGAUGUAAAAAGAAGGCAUUUAAUAAGGGAGGCCACCUGAUGUCAUAGAAAAAAUACUGAACUUAGAGGAUUUGGGUUCAAAUUCUUGUUCUCCUAUGGACUCCUUUAAUUCAUCUUUGUGGUCAUAUUUCUUUAAAAAAAAAAAAAAAAAAAAAGGACUAGAUGAUUUUAAGGCCACUUCCAGAUCUCAAUUGAUCAAAUAAUCUUAUUUUACAGGUAAAAAUUUCCUUUGAAGAACAAAGAUAAUUUUGUCUAUUUUCUUGUCUAUAGUUCCCCAUCCCUAUCCAUGAAAUUGGAAACUAUGACAUAGCAGAAAGAUUCUCAAGGAAAAAGACAUGGGUUGAAAUUUCACCUUGAUACUUAGCACCUGUGAGGCCUUAGGCAAAUAUGUCUAACUUUCUGAGUCUGUUUUCUCUUCUAUGAAACGAAGACGUUGAAUUAGAUGGCCACUUGCAGUUUAUUCCAACUCUAAAGUUAAGAUCCUAUGAACUUCAAAUGUUGAACCUAAGUACCUACUUCCUUAACAGUCUCAAUUAUAUCAUUAUCCUCACCAUCAUUAUUUAUAUGUACAUGUGUAUAUGUAUGCACAUAUAUAUAUAAUAUAUGCUUUUAAGAAACUUUAUAUGUAUGUACAUUCAUUAAAGUUCUACAUUAGUAGCUUAUGAAUAUAUGUAUACAUAUUUAUACAUGUGAGUAAGAACACUGGAUUUAGAUUCACGAAGAUCUGAAUUCAGAUCCUGCUUUGGAAUCCCCCUCUACUAUAACUUAAAUUCUUUUUUUUUCCUGUUCUUUUUUUAUUAAAGUUUUUUAUUUUAAAAAAUGUGCAUGGAUAAUUUUUCAACAUUAACCCUUGCAAAACUUUGUGUUCUAAUCCCCCUCCUCCAUCCUUUCCCCUA